AUACGUAGGGGGCGAGCGUUGUCCGGAAUUACUGGGCGUAAAGGGUGCGUAGGCGGCCGAUUAAGUCAGAUGUGAAAUACCAUGGCUCAACCAUGGGGGUGCAUAUGAAACUGGUUGGCUUGAGUGCAGGAGAGGAAAGUGGAAUUCCUAGUGUAGCGGUGAAAUGCGUAGAGAUUAGGAGGAACACCAGUGGCGAAGGCGACUUUCUGGACUGUAACUGACGCUGAGGCACGAAAGCGUGGGGAGCAAACAGGAUUAGAUACCCUGGUAGUCCACGCCGUAAACGAUGGAUACUAGGUGUAGGGGGUAUCGACCCCCCCUGUGCCGGAGUUAACGCAAUAAGUAUCCCGCCUGGGGAGUACGGCCGCAAGGUUGAA
This 377-nucleotide ribosomal RNA is filed under the name uncultured bacterium. RNAcentral describes it as "bacterial SSU rRNA". It matches the Rfam family "Bacterial small subunit ribosomal RNA", at positions 523 to 898 of the family's 1533-position model. The record is from RNAcentral.